RNAcentral lists this ribosomal RNA (465 nucleotides) under uncultured Klebsiella sp. RNAcentral describes it as "bacterial SSU rRNA". It matches the Rfam family "Bacterial small subunit ribosomal RNA", at positions 338 to 795 of the family's 1533-position model. Lineage: Bacteria; Pseudomonadati; Pseudomonadota; Gammaproteobacteria; Enterobacterales; Enterobacteriaceae. The record is from RNAcentral.
CCUACGGGAGGCAGCAGUGGGGAAUAUUGCACAAUGGGCGCAAGCCUGAUGCAGCCAUGCCGCGUGUGUGAAGAAGGCCUUCGGGUUGUAAAGCACUUUCAGCGGGGAGGAAGGCGGUGAGGUUAAUAACCUCAUCGAUUGACGUUACCCGCAGAAGAAGCACCGGCUAACUCCGUGCCAGCAGCCGCGGUAAUACGGAGGGUGCAAGCGUUAAUCGGAAUUACUGGGCGUAAAGCGCACGCAGGCGGUCUGUCAAGUCGGAUGUGAAAUCCCCGGGCUCAACCUGGGAACUGCAUUCGAAACUGGCAGGCUAGAGUCUUGUAGAGGGGGGUAGAAUUCCAGGUGUAGCGGUGAAAUGCGUAGAGAUCUGGAGGAAUACCGGUGGCGAGGGCGGCCCCCUGGACAAAGACUGACGCUCAGGUGCGAAAGCGUGGGGAGCAAACAGGAUUAGAUACCCGGGUAGUC